Molecule: long non-coding RNA, 968 nt
Organism: Glycine soja
Lineage: Eukaryota; Viridiplantae; Streptophyta; Magnoliopsida; Fabales; Fabaceae
Exons: 2
Source: RefSeq, a predicted model, not a curated record
AGUAAAGGCACCGUUGCAAUCUGUUGCAGUUUCCUCCACGGUUCACUAGUCACCCAACCAUCACCAUUGAAGGCACCACCAAAGACACUUGAAGCUAGAGGAGAGAGAGAAUAACAUUCCUUGUUGCUCCCGGUUGUACCGUUGCAUAUAUAUCAUCAGGCCAAGAAUAACAUUCCCUCCAUACUUUUUGUGAGCAGGCACAACGGAAAAAAUAGGAUCUACAGUUUCAACAUCUUCAUUGCAAAAAGGGUAAGUAAGUGGGUUUAUGCUAACUCCUCUUUCUCCAAAUUAUAUUUGUAUGGUAGUCUAUUUAGCACUAAUCUCCAGACUAAGCAUUGUACUUUUGUUGGAACUGUACGUAGCUUUCAAAUCAUUGUGAACAUCUCUUGUGUAUGGUUGUCUUCUAUAGCAUCAAAGAUAGCCCAAAAAGCUGAAUUAGACGAAUAUAUACCAUUGGGAGGAUUAGGAUACUAUUGCCACAAAUCAUGUGAUUGAUUGAGGUUAACGUACACUAGCCAUUUUUGCAUGCAAAGACUCAAUAUGCUCCUCUUCCUAUGCAAAUUGUGCCCUUCUCCACUUCAAGUUCCAGACCCACACUCCACUUUCCCACGUUCCCAUGCUACUAAGUGUCACGUGUGGUUGUGUUGAUAAGGAAAAAAGUGUCGGCUGUAGGAUAGCCAGAGGAGCAUCCUCCAACUAUACAUCCUGCCAAAUGCGUAUCUUAUCACCACUACCAAUAUUCGACUUGCAAUUAGACCCCAACCAAUUAGAUGCUUCAUUCCCAUCACAAAUUAAAACAAAGGUCAAGCCACCAAAUAGAGGAGGAAUUUUUCACAUUUUUAUCCACAAGUCCCUCCAACCUCCAUACUUAGAAUAUAGAAUUUUGAUCCAUAGAGCAUCUUGUUGAUAUAAGACAUUUUAUCUCUACUGUCCUAGUAGAGUCUCGUUAAAGUAUGUAAUAUUUGCUA